AUACCUUAGCCUCACAACAAGAUAUAUGAACUGAAGUGAACUGGGUAACAAACAAACAUGUAAAAAACGAGAAGAUUGAUAACAGUGAAAACAAAGCAUGAUUCUGAGUCUUAAUUCUUCUUCUUAUUGCUUCUUCUUCUAUCUUCAACCUUCAAUUUUACACAAUACUCACACAAAACUCUCUUUCCCAAUUCACUCACACAACAAAACCCCAUCUUCAUUAAAUGCUACUCCCACCCCCCUUUUCCUCCCAUUGCUCGAACAACAAGAACGUGAAGAAAAACAACAACAACAACAACAACAACAACAUAAAUUAGAACAAAAACAGGAAGAAGAAGAAGAACAACAACAACAACAAGAACAAGAAGAAGAAGAAGAAGAACAAACCUAUUAUGAUGACCCAAUUUACAAAUUCUUCAAAACCAGAACUAUGGUUUCAUCCCAAAACCCUAAAAAAGAAGGAAAAUUGUUACUUCAUAAGAACCGUCGCCCGGCAUGGAAACUUGCUUCACAAGAAGAUGAAAUGGGUAUGGAGGAAAUGCCGCCUUUAUUGGUUGAAGACAAUGAAGAAAUGGGGUCACAAAAGAAGAAACCAUCAUCGCCUGAAGGAGUUGUUGGUGAAAUUGUUCAUAUUGCAAGGAAUUUACCACAAAGUUUGACUAUUGAAGAAGCUUUGGGAGAGUAUGUUAAAAAGGUCAAUGAGAAAGAGUGUUUAGAGGUUAUGGAGAUACUUGGGAAAGAAAACCUUGUGGGGCGUUGUUUGUAUUUCUUUCAAUGGAUGAGGUCUCAUGAACGAUCACUUGUUACACCAAAGGCUUUUACUUUGCUGUUUCCUUUGUUGGGAAGAGCAAGUAUGGGUGAUAAAUUGUUGGUUUUGUUGCCUUCUAUCAAGGAAUUUAGAAGUGUUUCUGUUUAUAAUGCUGCGAUUUCAGGUCUUCUUUCUGAUGGAAGGUAUGAAGAUGCUUGGAAGGUUUACGAGUCGAUGGAAACUGAUAAUAUUCUUCCAGAUCAUGUGACAUGCUCUAUUGUGAUUAUUGUUAUGAGAAAACUUGGCCAUAGCGCAAAAGAUGCAUGGCAGUUUUUUGAGAAAAUGAACAGAAAAGGAGUCAGAUGGAGCGAAGAAGUCCUUGGUGCAUUGAUAAAGUCAUUUUGUAUAGAGGGUUUGCUGAGUGAAGCUCUCAUCAUCCAAUCCGAAAUACGGAAGAAAGGGAUUUCUUCAAAUGCAAUUGUGUACAACACUCUGAUGGACGCAUUUUGUAAAUCAAAUCGCGUGGAGGAAGCCGAAGGUCUUUUCGUUGAGAUGAAAGCUAUAAGGAUUAAACCGAACGCAGCUACCUUCAACAUUCUAAUGCAUGCAUACAGCCGAAGAAGGCAACCAAAGAUUGUAGAGAAUCUGCUUGAAGAAAUGCAUGACUUUGGCUUGAAGCCAAAUGCAAAUUCGUAUACCUGUCUUAUCAGUGCGUAUGGGAGGCGGAAAACGAUGAGCGACAUGGCAGCAAAUGCAUUCUUGAAGAUGAAGAGAGUUGGUAUAAAACCCACUUCACAUUCCUAUACAGCAUUGAUCCAUGCAUAUUCGGUUAGUGGCUGGCACGAGAAAGCUUAUGUGACAUUUGAGAACAUGUUAAAGGAAGGUAUAAAACCUCCAAUAGAAACCUACACUACUUUACUAGAUGCGUCCAGACGUACUGGUGACACAGAAACAUUGAUGAAAAUAUGGAAGCUGAUGAGGAACCAGAAAGUUAAAGGAACAAAGGUUACAUUCAACAUUCUUGUCGACGGCUUUGCCAAACAAGGUCUCUUCAUGGAAGCAAGAGAUGUAAUCUCUGAAUUCGGGAAGUUCGGAUUGAAACCAACGGUGGUGACAUAUAAUAUGCUGAUGAAUGCAUAUGCACGAGGAGGGGUAGACUCGAAGCUUCCGCAGUUGUUGAAAGAGAUGGAAGCUCUUAAGUUAAGACCAGAUUCUGUAACAUAUUCAACUAUCAUAUAUGCUUUUGUCCGUGUUCGAGACUAUAAGCGGGCAUUUUUUUAUCACAAGGAGAUGGUCAAAAGUGGGCAGGUUAUGGAUAUCAGUUCUUACCGGAAGCUUCGCGAUAUUCUCGAUGUCAAAGCUGCAGACAAGAACAGGAGUGAUAAGGUAGCUUUGCUUGGUAUAGUUAACAAAAAGAUGGGUAUUGUGAAAUAUAAAGGGAAAAAAGAUGAGUUUUGGAAGUACAAGACAGGACGUGCAAUAAGAACUUAGUUCUUCUGAUGUUGAUGUAUAGUAAAAGUGGAGAAAGAAACGGGCACAUAGCAGAACAUGUUUGAGUUCAUUCUUCUUGUUCUUAGUAAUUAGCAUACAUCAUGUUUUAUUGUAUGCCUCAGACACACUAUGAAGAGAAGGUCUUUGCUUUGAAUAGUUUUGUUCUCCUUAACUAGUGAAAACAUAUUGAAUGCAGUUAUAUUGUUGCCAGUGUCUGUGCAAUUCAUAUUCACAAAUUAUUGCCAUUGUCUGUACAAUUCUAUUACUUAGCUGAAAAUGCAAGAAAAAGAAGAAAGGAAGUCUUCCUCAGCACACAUAUCUUGACUACACCAUCGCCAAUCUCUUGGCUGCCUGUUAUCAUUGCUUUCACAUUUGGUCAAAUAGGCACUGAUCAUCCAAACUUCUUGUCUCAGCUUACUCAGGAGGAAGUCGAUGGUUCCAAUGAAUACAAUAAUUUCCAGCAUGGUUCAAUUAACACUACCAAGCAGCUUAUCCAAGACUUAGAAAAUAUUGACUAGUGAAACUUCUGUGAAUUGAUGGUCAAUGGAUUUUUCCUUUUAUCAAAUAUGCUUCAAGUAUGUAUCUGUUUGGUUUCAUAUUGAAUUGAUUUAGUCUGCUGUCAAAUAUACUUUUAGUAAAAAUGUGAAUGGUUUCUAUCACACAAAAUUGUCUUUAAACUUUGGUUUGGUUAGAAUGGAAAAAAAAGCUUACAUGGUCUUUUACAUCAAA
RNA transcript from Trifolium pratense (red clover), 2968 nucleotides. It is a transcript of the gene named pentatricopeptide repeat-containing protein At5g50280, chloroplastic, with no coding region annotated. The transcript is spliced from 4 exons. The record is from RefSeq and is a predicted model, not a curated record. NCBI's taxonomy places the organism in Eukaryota, Viridiplantae, Streptophyta, Magnoliopsida, Fabales, Fabaceae.